GAUGAACGCUGGCGGCGUGCCUAAUACAUGCAAGUCGAGCGAACGGACGAGAAGCUUGCUUCUCUGAUGUUAGCGGCGGACGGGUGAGUAACACGUGGAUAACCUACCUAUAAGACUGGGAUAACUUCGGGGAACCGUAGCUAAUACCGGAUAAUAUUUUGAACCGCAUGGUUCAAAAGUGAAAGACGGUCUUGCUGUCACUUAUAGAUGGAUCCGCGCUGCAUUAGCUAGUUGGUAAGGUAACGGCUUACCAAGGCAACGAUGCAUAGCCGACCUGAGAGGGUGAUCGGCCACACUGGAACUGAGACACGGUCAAGACUCCUACGGGAGGCAGCAGUAGGGAAUCUUCCGCAAUGGGCGAAAGCCUGACGGAGCAACGCCGCGUGAGUGAUGAAGGUCUUCGGAUCGUAAAACUCUGUUAUUAGGGAAGAACAUAUGUGUAAGUAACUGUGCACAUCUUGACGGUACCUAAUCAGAAAGCCACGGCUAACUACGUG
Molecule: ribosomal RNA, 497 nt
Filed under: uncultured bacterium
Lineage: Bacteria
Description: partial 16S ribosomal RNA
Rfam family: Bacterial small subunit ribosomal RNA
Source: RNAcentral